UACGUAGGCAGCGAGCGUUGUUCGGAGUUACUGGGCGUAAAGGGUGUGUAGGCGGUUCUUUAAGUUUGGUGUGAAAUCUCCCGGCUCAACCGGGAGGGUGCGCCGAAUACUGAGGGACUAGAGUACGGGAGAGGAAAGUGGAAUUCCUGGUGUAGCGGUGAAAUGCGUAGAUAUCAGGAGGAACACCGGUGGUGUAGACGGCUUUCUGGACCGUAACUGACGCUGAAGACGAAAGCGUGGGGAGCAAACAGG
RNAcentral lists this ribosomal RNA (252 nucleotides) under uncultured bacterium. RNAcentral's name for it is "partial 16S ribosomal RNA". It matches the Rfam family "Bacterial small subunit ribosomal RNA", at positions 524 to 776 of the family's 1533-position model. The record is from RNAcentral.